GCUACAGACGUGGCAGAUGUGUCGUUAGUAAGUAGGGGGCAAGAAUGAAUAGGAAUUACUGGUCGUAAAGCGUGGGCAGGCGGUUAUAUAAGACAGAUGUGAAAUCCCCGGGAUCAACCUGGGAACUGCAUGUGUGACUGUAUAGUGAGAGUACGGCAGAGGGGGAUGGAAUUCCGCGUGUAGCAGUGAAAUGCGUAGAUAUGCGGAGGAACACCGAUGGCGAAGGCAAUCCCCUGGGCCUGUACUGACGCUCAUGCACGAAAGCGUGGGGAGCAAACAGGAUUAGAUACCCUAGUAGUC
RNAcentral lists this ribosomal RNA (300 nucleotides) under uncultured Methanocella sp. RNAcentral describes it as "bacterial SSU rRNA". It matches the Rfam family "Bacterial small subunit ribosomal RNA", at positions 496 to 795 of the family's 1533-position model. The record is from RNAcentral. Lineage: Archaea; Methanobacteriati; Methanobacteriota; Methanomicrobia; Methanocellales; Methanocellaceae.